AUCCGUGCCCCGCCCCCCAAGGUGGCCGUGAGGGAGGGGGGAGCCGCUGCGGAGCGCUUUUGUGAGAGAGAAAUGGGACCGGGGCCGCUUCCCCUGAAAUGUUCAAGUGUCUUUAGCAGGCACGAAGCACGUUAACUCCGCAAGACACCGCUGAAGUCUGUGCCCUAAGCCAGGGACCUCUCUGCCCUGAGAAAGCCCCCCGAAACUCCUUCGGUCAGGAGUCAGAUUUACAUAAUUUAUGACUGUUACGGAGAGCGAAUAUAGGAGAAUGUCUAAGUUUUGUAGUGUGUAUUGGCAUUUAUUUACUGGAAAUCCCUCCAGGCAAAGCAAGCUGCUGUGGAGUGUCAAAGCCCAGGGCCCUCAGUGCCCUGACAUCGCCACACUGCUGCCGUCACUGCCAGCAAGGAAUGGUUUGGUGGCUACGAAGAAGGAGCAGCCCUUCCCUGGGAGGACAGCACCUGUCGUUCCUGCCGGUGCGGCAGCAGCAGGAGCCUCUCCUCCCUCCUUUCUCUCCCCUCUCUUAGUUACUAUCCUGUCCCUCUUCCACAUCUCUAGGGCAACAAUUUUGCAUGUGCUCCUGAGGUGCUCUGAUCCAGACUUACUCUUCAUGAAUAUGAAUUACAUUUCUGAAUAUGGAAAGUAUGUAAAUUCGACAGUAUUUUGA
This 664-nucleotide long non-coding RNA is filed under the name Cyanistes caeruleus (blue tit). RNAcentral's name for it is "lncRNA (ENSCCEG00000009316.1)". Lineage: Eukaryota; Metazoa; Chordata; Aves; Passeriformes; Paridae. The record is from RNAcentral.